GGCAGUGUGGCUCAGUGGUAGAGCACUUUUCUAGCACGUGCUGGGAGCUGGGUUUAACUCCCAGCACUGACC
Molecule: transfer RNA, 72 nt
Filed under: Heterocephalus glaber (naked mole-rat)
Lineage: Eukaryota; Metazoa; Chordata; Mammalia; Rodentia; Bathyergidae
Rfam family: tRNA
About the family: Transfer RNA (tRNA) molecules are approximately 80 nucleotides in length. Their secondary structure includes four short double-helical elements and three loops (D, anti-codon, and T loops).
Source: Rfam by way of RNAcentral